UGGCCCUAGGGCAGAAAUCAGUCACAGCUGCCAGUCAGUUAAUAACUACCACCACUCUGGUCUAGUACAUGCAUGCCUGGGACACAGGCCCAGGUGGGGCCCUGCUGGCCAACCUGGCUAACGCACAGCCCUACAGCUUUUCCCAGGCAGGCAUGUGUUCCCACCCCCGCCAUCAGGUGGGUAGUAGAGGUUCUUAAAGAAAAUAGAGUGUUCCUCUUUGGGGGACCCACUUGCCUGCUUGAAGGUUAUAGAUCAAUGCACAUACAGAGCUGCUAGCACCAUCCCGUACGAGUAGCCACAUCACCACCAUCUCUGCAAUCCUCAGAGUACCUCUGUACAGCCAGGGGUGUGUUGAGCUUCCUUCAACAAACUCUAAAUGGCCACAGCAAGCCUCAGGCCCCUACCCUUUCCUGGUCCCUCCUCUGCUUGCUAGCAGGAGAAACGGCCCUUGGGUCUAGCUGCUAAUCUCAUCUGGAUGUGGGAUGGGUUAGAUACAGAGCGCUUAUCUUCAAACCCCUGUGUGUAGACCAUAUAAGCCUUUUUGGGAUACCACCUCCCUUAAUCCUCCCAGCCCUGCUCCCGCCCCCUACUUGCAUCACUUUACAAGGGCUGGUUACACCAAGGAAACUCCAGCGUGAGGAUGGGAUUGAGGCAGCACAAUGCAAAUAAACUCCUUUAAAGGGGCUAGUUGGGGCUGGCAGGGCCCUGCCUUUUGUAUCGGUGCUAUUCCUUGCCUUUCCUAAGGUGCAGGCUUAUGGCUCUGCCGUGGGUAAUCUCUCUCUCCCCUGCUCUAACUUAGCCAGGUUGCUUUGCUUCUGUCAUCCUGUGCACUAGCUCCUCCAGCAUUGCUGUCACACGGCACUCAGCCAGGAGCAUGUGCAAAGGAUCAUGGUGGAAUUUAUAUUAGCAAAAUGCCUGACAAAGGGAGACGGAGAGGUGCUUGGGGGUUGAGUUUAAUUUGUCACAAGGUGCCUGUGCCCCGUUGUUAUCCUGGACUGGGCAAUAACCACCAGGAAGGUGUACAGCUUCUAAAUGUGACAACAGCCAACCUGGGAGUGCUCCACAGGCUACAGAUCAAGGAGGCUCUAACUUCAGGAGGCUCCUUAUACAAUGUAGUGUCUUACUUGAAUCCCAUAGAGUCUCUGUAGGAGAAAUGACCCUCAAAGCUAUUUGUGUCUGGCUGCUGUGACAAGCCACAGUCCUGCCCUGCCACAUCUCCUCUCUUUUCUGGGCAGGGCCAAGGCCUUGGCCAGAAUAAGUUCUAUUUUAAUACCUAAGCACCAGGAAAACUCUCAUUCUUAACCAGGUUCCCAGUGAGUGGGAGGCAUGGGGUGAGCCAUUUUCCCUGCAGCGCCCCUGCUCCAUAGCCCCAGGAUCCGGUUGUCGGAAGGAAGGUUUACCUCCUUGCCUUCGUAGUCACAGAGUGCCUCCACAGGGAUGGGCUUGAGCGGGCUCUCCCGGCGGUACUUCAGAGGCAGCACCUGCAGGCUGUGCGUCUUCAGGGACUUCACCACUGCCUCAUACUUGUCCAAGGCCUUCUCCUGAUCCUAGGGGGAAAGGAAAAGCCAUGAUGAGGUGGGAGGUUUUAAAAUGUGCCGCUGCCACCCAUGGACCACCAGAGGGCUGUGCAUGUGGCAUGUUGGUCAUGGAAGGGAGACCUUUACUGAGACAGCUGUUGGGCCAGCCUGAAAUGCUCCCUCGGGCCCUGGCUGGCAGAGCUGAAUUGUAAAGCCUGGACAUCAUCUCAUCUACUCUGGCCCUUUUAAAAGAGAUGUUUGGUGUUGAAUAUUCACAAUGCAAAAUGUCAAGAAAUAUGAAAAUGUUCUCCUCAGCAGUGAUGCCUUCCAUUUGCAGAGGCUGAAGUGCUGUUCAAGUCUGAGGCUCCUGCUGGCAUUUCCCAUUUCCACAGGCAAGAGGCGCUACUGCUGCCCCUGGGCACUGAGUGGACGACGUAAGCAACCUGAAGAGGAAAAUGCGCUUGUCUGCUCUUUCCUCCCCUUAACUGUUGUGUGCCAUUGCCACAGCUGAGAUGUGCAAACGAAACGCUUGUGAGGUCAGCAGGAGAGGGGAGCUUGUCGGGGGGAGGGAACGAGAGAAGGGACAAAUAUGAACUUGUCUUUGUUAUUUAGCAUUCACUAGUAACACAGAUAUUGAGGGUUUGUGUAAUAAGUGAGGAGUGACAGCCAGGGGCCCAGUGCCUCCUAGGGAGACAGUGGGGUGGGACCAGUACAAAUGCAGCCACAACCAGUAAACUUUUCUAAGGACAUGUCCUUGAUCAAUGAUCAGAAAGGAAGUUUGCUCACUGGCUCCCAGCACCUUCCCCACCCAGGAUCAUAUGCUUACCCCCAGCCCCCAACACUUGGGACCAGCAUUGAACCAGAGGCUGGAGAAGGGUUUGGGGGCAUGGGGAAGGAGGAGGGUGGCUGGCUGCCUGCACUGGGGUGGAGGCAUGUCCAUUACUGCGUGUGUUGGCUGUGCAGUGCUCUGGCCUGGGAGCAGCCCCGUUGCUCUGCCUGGCUUUUCCCUGGGUGGGUGGCUCUGUGGACUAACGUUUCCCUCAGGGGUGGUCCUGCCACGUCCCAUGACAAACUUAUGAUGCUCCCAACGUGAGAAAGUAGGAGUGUGAUGGGAGAAUCCCAACAGUUCAGCCCCAUGCUCCCUCGUCUUGUCAUGAAAGUUGUAAUAGAAGGCCGAAGGGGAAGACAGGGUGUGGCCAGCACAGAACAAUAAAUAUGUGAAUGCAGAGUCCAGGCCCCAGCGCCUGCCAUGGGCAGAGACUGGGCAGCCCACCAGCCCGCUUGCACCCUUCUAGGCAGCACCUGCUCUGAUGCCACAAAGGUUCCUCCCAUCACCAAGGCCAGUGUCAUGCUCUUCCGUUAUUGUGCUGCUACUCACAUCCAGCUCCCUGAGAAGUGACUCUAGCUGGUAUCUGUCCUUGACGUCAGGGUUGUAUUUCUGGUCCAGGUCUGUGUCCACCUUCUUCAACAGCUCCUGGGCAUCCGUAGCAUUCUUUUGGAACUGCAGGAAGGCCAAGCAAGACUUCUUUAAAAGAGAACCCCCAGCUGGCAGAGAGAUCUGACCCCUACAUGGGCUAAGCACAGCUCUGCUUGUCAGGGGAGGAACAAGAUAACAGGCCUGGCGGAAACGGGGUAAUUGGAUCUCUGUUUUACCCAAUUUAUACACUUGCAGUAGAAGGGAGCAUUUUGGUUGGCAUUUGGCAGCUCAGGAAGCCAUGCAAAGCUGAAGAGCCAUUUAUAGGAUGAGUGCCAAUACAGGACAAAGGGCAUGGGAGUUUUCUCCAUGGACUGUCAUCUCAGGGUGCUGGGUCAGGGUCAAGUAGGCAUUCCUGGAUGGGAUGGUGUUCUCUCCAGGGGAUGCAGGGAAAAGACAUACCAGUUAGCAUUCUCUGGGAUACUCACCUCAACGGGGUUCUUUCCAGGGUGGUUUUGGGCUAGUAGCUGAUCUCCUUCCACGUGCAGUUUGUUGACAGCCUCCUCUCUCUCUUCUAGAUUGUGAUUGAUGAAGUUCUAGAGAGAGGCAGUGAAGGUGUCGGGCUCAGAACGGAAUGCGUGAAGGGGACCCCUUGCUAACAGACCAGAACACAGGAACCCAGGCUACAGCAGGGGGAAGGGACCCUUGCUUACACCCCAGAUUUUACAUACCUUAAAAUGAAGGGGUCUGACUCCUUGGUGCACUCAAAACAGAGACUCCCUCAAGGCCAGGAAGCCCCAGCCCUGCCCUGCUGCAUCUUAGCCUCCUCCUUUCCUUAUAGUUGCUUGUAAAGUCUGAGCUGGAUUCUCUCCUUGCUCCCACCAAGGUAAAUCCAGCAUGAGCAAGGGGAGAAUCAGGCCCUAUGUCAAUACAGGUAUUUUCAUUCUUUUUUGCUUUAGGGCCUGAUCUGUUUGUACAUGUAAUAACAUCAAGCCCUAUCUCUUA
Molecule: long non-coding RNA, 3936 nt
Organism: Dermochelys coriacea (leatherback sea turtle)
Lineage: Eukaryota; Metazoa; Chordata; Testudines; Dermochelyidae
Exons: 3
Source: RefSeq, a predicted model, not a curated record